GGUUAAGCGACUAAGCGUACACGGUGGAUGCCCUGGCAGUCAGAGGCGAUGAAGGGCGUGCUAAUCUGCGAUAAGCGCCGGUAAGGUGAUAUGAACCGUUAUAACCGGCGAUACCCGAAUGGGGAAACCCAGUGUGAUUCGUCACACUAUCAUUAACUGAAUCCAUAGGUUAAUGAGGCGAACCGGGGGAACUGAAACAUCUAAGUACCCCGAGGAAAAGAAAUCAACCGAGAUUCCCCCAGUAGCGGCGAGCGAACGGGGAGGAGCCCAGAGCCUGAAUCAGCAUGUGUGUUAGUGGAAGCGUCUGGAAAGGCGCGCGAUACAGGGUGACAGCCCCGUACACAAAAGCGCAUGUGCUGUGAGCUCGAUGAGUAGGGCGGGACACGUGGUAUCCUGUCUGAAUAUGGGGGGACCAUCCUCCAAGGCUAAAUACUCCUGACUGACCGAUAGUGAACCAGUACCGUGAGGGAAAGGCGAAAAGAACCCCGGCGAGGGGAGUGAAAAAGAACCUGAAACCGUGUACGUACAAGCAGUGGGAGCACCCUUUGGGGUGUGACUGCGUACCUUUUGUAUAAUGGGUCAGCGACUUAUAUUCUGUAGCAAGGUUAACCGAAUAGGGGAGCCGGAGGGAAACCGAGUCUUAACCGGGCGUUAAGUUGCAGGGUAUAGACCCGAAACCCGGUGAUCUAGCCAUGGGCAGGUUGAAGGUUGGGUAACACUAACUGGAGGACCGAACCGACUAAUGUUGAAAAAUUAGCGGAUGACCUGUGGCUGGGGGUGAAAGGCCAAUCAAACCGGGAGAUAGCUGGUUCUCCCCGAAAGCUAUUUAGGUAGCGCCUCGUGAAUUCAUCUCCGGGGGUAGAGCACUGUUUCGGCUAGGGGGCCAUCCCGGCUUACCAACCCGAUGCAAACUGCGAAUACCGGAGAAUGUUAUCACGGGAGACACACGGCGGGUGCUAACGUCCGUCGUGAAGAGGGAAACAACCCAGACCGCCAGCUAAGGUCCCAAAGUCAUGGUUAAGUGGGAAACGAUGUGGGAAGGCCCAGACAGCCAGGAUGUUGGCUUAGAAGCAGCCAUCAUUUAAAGAAAGCGUAAUAGCUCACUGGUCGAGUCGGCCUGCGCGGAAGAUGUAACGGGGCUAAACCAUGCACCGAAGCUGCGGCAGCGACGCUGAUGCGUUGUUGGGUAGGGGAGCGUUCUGUAAGCCUGCGAAGGUGUGUCGUGAGGCAUGCUGGAGGUAUCAGAAGUGCGAAUGCUGACAUAAGUAACGAUAAAGCGGGUGAAAAGCCCGCUCGCCGGAAGACCAAGGGUUCCUGUCCAACGUUAAUCGGGGCAGGGUGAGUCGACCCCUAAGGCGAGGCCGAAAGGCGUAGUCGAUGGGAAACGGGUUAAUAUUCCCGUACUUGGUGUUACUGCGAAGGGGGGACGGAGAAGGCUAUGUUGGCCGGGCGACGGUUGUCCCGGUUUAAGCGUGUAGGUGUGUGUUCCAGGUAAAUCCGGUUCACUUUAACACUGAGGCGUGAUGACGAGGCACUACGGUGCUGAAGCAACAAAUGCCCUGCUUCCAGGAAAAGCCUCUAAGCAUCAGGUAACAUCAAAUCGUACCCCAAACCGACACAGGUGGUCAGGUAGAGAAUACCAAGGCGCUUGAGAGAACUCGGGUGAAGGAACUAGGCAAAAUGGUGCCGUAACUUCGGGAGAAGGCACGCUGACACGUAGGUGAAGUGAUUUACUCAUGGAGCUGAAGUCAGUCGAAGAUACCAGCUGGCUGCAACUGUUUAUUAAAAACACAGCACUGUGCAAACACGAAAGUGGACGUAUACGGUGUGACGCCUGCCCGGUGCCGGAAGGUUAAUUGAUGGGGUCAGCGCAAGCGAAGCUCCUGAUCGAAGCCCCGGUAAACGGCGGCCGUAACUAUAACGGUCCUAAGGUAGCGAAAUUCCUUGUCGGGUAAGUUCCGACCUGCACGAAUGGCGUAAUGAUGGCCAGGCUGUCUCCACCCGAGACUCAGUGAAAUUGAACUCGCUGUGAAGAUGCAGUGUACCCGCGGCAAGACGGAAAGACCCCGUGAACCUUUACUAUAGCUUGACACUGAACAUUGAGCCUUGAUGUGUAGGAUAGGUGGGAGGCUUUGAAGUGUGGACGCCAGUCUGCAUGGAGCCGGCCUUGAAAUACCACCCUUUAAUGUUUGAUGUUCUAACGUGGACCCGUGAUCCGGGUUGCGGACAGUGUCUGGUGGGUAGUUUGACUGGGGCGGUCUCCUCCUAAAGAGUAACGGAGGAGCACGAAGGUUGGCUAAUCCUGGUCGGACAUCAGGAGGUUAGUGCAAUGGCAUAAGCCAGCUUGACUGCGAGCGUGACGGCGCGAGCAGGUGCGAAAGCAGGUCAUAGUGAUCCGGUGGUUCUGAAUGGAAGGGCCAUCGCUCAACGGAUAAAAGGUACUCCGGGGAUAACAGGCUGAUACCGCCCAAGAGUUCAUAUCGACGGCGGUGUUUGGCACCUCGAUGUCGGCUCAUCACAUCCUGGGGCUGAAGUAGGUCCCAAGGGUAUGGCUGUUCGCCAUUUAAAGUGGUACGCGAGCUGGGUUUAGAACGUCGUGAGACAGUUCGGUCCCUAUCUGCCGUGGGCGCUGGAGAACUGAGGGGGGCUGCUCCUAGUACGAGAGGACCGGAGUGGACGCAUCACUGGUGUUCGGGUUGUCAUGCCAAUGGCACUGCCCGGUAGCUAAAUGCGGAAGAGAUAAGUGCUGAAAGCAUCUAAGCACGAAACUUGCCCCGAGAUGAGUUCUCCCUGAGACUUAGAGUCUCCUGAAGGAACGUUGAAGACGACGACGUUGAUAGGCCGGGUGUGUAAGCGCAGCGAUGCGUUGAGCUAACCGGUACUAAUGAACCGUGAGGCUUAACCUU
This 2906-nucleotide ribosomal RNA is filed under the name Salmonella enterica. RNAcentral describes it as "23S ribosomal RNA". It matches the Rfam family "Bacterial large subunit ribosomal RNA". The record is from RNAcentral. Lineage: Bacteria; Pseudomonadati; Pseudomonadota; Gammaproteobacteria; Enterobacterales; Enterobacteriaceae. RNAcentral also lists the same sequence under 1 other name.